GGACCCGCACAAGUAGUGGAGCAUGUGGUUUAAUUCGAAGAUACGCGCAGAACCUUACCAACACUUGACAUGUUCGUCGCGACUUUAAGAGAUUAAAGUUUUCGGUUCGGCCGGACGAAACACAGGUGCUGCAUGGCUGUCGUCAGCUCGUGUCGUGAGAUGUUGGGUUAAGUCCCGCAACGAGCGCAACCCUCACUUUUAGUUGCCACCAUUCAGUUGGGCACUCUGAAAGAACUGCCAGUGAUAAGCUGGAGGAAGGUGGGGAUGACGUCAAGUCCUCAUGGCCCUUACGUGUUGGGCUACACACGUGCUACAAUGGUAUUUACAAUAGGAAGCAAGAUGGCGACGUCAAGCAAAUCCUAAAAAGAUACCUCAGUUCGGAUUGUACUCUGCAACUCGAGUACAUGAAGCUGGAAUUACUAGUAAUCG
This 429-nucleotide ribosomal RNA is filed under the name uncultured bacterium. RNAcentral's name for it is "bacterial SSU rRNA". It matches the Rfam family "Bacterial small subunit ribosomal RNA", at positions 917 to 1344 of the family's 1533-position model. The record is from RNAcentral.